Molecule: ribosomal RNA, 460 nt
Filed under: uncultured bacterium
Lineage: Bacteria
Description: bacterial SSU rRNA
Rfam family: Bacterial small subunit ribosomal RNA
Source: RNAcentral
CCUACGGGUGGCACCAGUGAGGAAUAUUGGACAAUGGGUGGAAGCCUGAUCCAGCCAUCCCGCGUGUAGGAAGACGGCCUUAUGGGUUGUAAACUACUUUUAUCUGGGGAUAAACCUACUUACGAGUAAGUAGCCGAAGGUACCAGAAGAAUAAGCACCGGCUAACUCCGUGCCAGCAGCCGCGGUUAUACGGGGGGUGCGAGCGUUAUCCGGAUUUAUUGGGUUUAAAGGGUCCGUAGGCGGGAUAAUCAGUCAGUGGUGAAAUCCCUUAGCUUAACUAAGGAACUGCCAUUGAUACUGUUAUUCUUGAGUAAGGUUGCAGUGGCUGGAAUGUGUAGUGUAGCGGUGAAAUGCUUAGAUAUUACGCAGAACACCAAUUGCGAAGGCAGGUCACUAAGCCUUAACUGACGCUGAUGGACGAAAGCGUGGGGAGCGAACAGGAUUAGAUACCCCCGUAGUC